This 679-nucleotide ribosomal RNA is filed under the name Gammarus lacustris. RNAcentral's name for it is "eukaryotic LSU rRNA". It matches the Rfam family "Eukaryotic large subunit ribosomal RNA", at positions 491 to 901 of the family's 3401-position model. The record is from RNAcentral. Lineage: Eukaryota; Metazoa; Arthropoda; Malacostraca; Amphipoda; Gammaridae.
ACCAGCCCACCACGGCACGUUGUGAGGUCACCCACAGGCUCAACUUUCGAUUGUGAACCUUGACGCCGAGCAGCACAAUGCGUGUCGCUUAUGUUCCUAACCAGGCAACGCUGCCAGGACCGUGGAACGACACGCGCUCAACAGUCAGGUUCGAGCGAUGACAGAGUUCUGGUACGAUCCUCUUGCGACGAGCCGGCUUCUGGCCAAAAUCCGCUGCUCAGGUCUCCCGCAUGUGCCGCGGGAGAUCGCCCUUGACGGUCUGGAGCUUUUACAAGUCCUCUCAGUCGGGCAACGGAUAGAGUGGUGUAAAGUCCAAGCCCAUCGGUCACGUCUCGAAACACGGGCCAAGGAGUAUAGCAUGUGUGCAAGUCUAAGGGUCUCACAAAACCCGAAGGCGAAGUGAAAGCAAGUAAGCGGCGGGUGAUCUACGGAGAGAUCCCGUCAGCUAGAGGGACCCUCGGGUCUCUCCGGCUUUGGCAGAGUUGAUCCUGCAGCGGUACCGCACACGUACGCUCAGGCGCAAACUCCAGGCUCACGUUUCGCACUGGUUCUCGGACUGUGCUGUGAGCACUGUGGAGCAUGCAUGCUAUGACCCGAAAGAUAGUGAACUAUGCCUGGCGAGGGCGAAGCCCCAGGAAACUGGGGUGGAGGCCCGUAGCCGUUGUGACGUGCAAAUCCA